RNAcentral lists this long non-coding RNA (794 nucleotides) under Cyanistes caeruleus (blue tit). RNAcentral's name for it is "lncRNA (ENSCCEG00000007021.1)". The record is from RNAcentral. Lineage: Eukaryota; Metazoa; Chordata; Aves; Passeriformes; Paridae.
AGGGUCACACAGUGGACAUGAAUUGUUAGAUGCCUCGAUAUCUUUCAUGACUGCAUUUCUGAUCCAUAAUUUAAAGUGGCAACUGAUGUUUAAAGUUAAGGCACAGUUACAAGAUACAUUUAAUUAUACAAAAAUCUGUUUUUUUCAGCUCUUGACAUCUGUACACUCUUAGUCAUUAAACUAAUGGUGGUGUGCUAAUGCUACCAACAAGAAAUAUUUGUCUUGUGUUCUGGCAAUAAAAAGGAAAAAGAAAAGUACUGUACUUUGCAGUUAAUGGAGGAAACAGAUCCACGUCAAGAGCAUGGAAUAAUGAAUGAAAAAGGGAAGAAGACGGUGUUGUUACUCUCAGGCUGGUUUUCUGCCCUCUCCCCACUGUAAGAAACUGCCUUCCUAAUGGCAGAAAGGAAAUUUUCCACUGUAGCACAAGUAAUUGUCUAAGUGUUUUGUGGUUAGCUGCAAGUCCUGAACUGCUGAAGAUAAUAAAAACUUAUUCUCUGAGCUCUCGCUUUUUGGAUUUUAAACAUUACCGUGUACAGUAGGAGUGCAAUUCUUUUUGCUGUGUUGAGGUCUGUGUUUAUCCCCUGUGCCCCAUUUUUCACAGGGACAGAUGGAUGGAGAAGAUACAGCAGAAUAAAUACGUGCAGGCAUCCCGCUACAAAGAAAACUUUCUGCAUGGGAGCCGGCUCAGGAGAAAUGAUGUUGUUGGGAAUGGAAAGGUGAAGGUGAGAAAACCAAGACUUUCUGUCUCCUUGGAGAUAACAGCCAGCCAACAUUACCUUCAGAAAUCAGUGUGA